Molecule: long non-coding RNA, 1014 nt
Organism: Bactrocera oleae (olive fruit fly)
Lineage: Eukaryota; Metazoa; Arthropoda; Insecta; Diptera; Tephritidae
Source: RefSeq, a predicted model, not a curated record
GUAUAAAGUUUUUUAUAUGAAUUAUCAGCGUUUGUUCUGUGUUAACCGUACGAAGAGCACAUCGCUGGACUUUCUGUGUGUUCACUCGCUAACUAUGGUGCGCUCUGAGGCAUUGAAAUUGGCUCGCACCUUUUGAACUCUAUGAAAACUCAAGAUGAACGAAUUGUGAAAAUGUGUACAUAUUUAAUGGGUGGAUAUUUUUGUAGCUUUUACCGAAAAGUGAGAAAUUUACGAUUUCAAUUUUGCUAGUGAGCUUCUUAACCAAGUUACUCUCUCGUAAAAUGCUUUUUUAGCCUCAAUGCGCAUGAAAGCACAUAUGCUUGUAUACAUGUACAUAUGCGUACACGUAUAAUUGUACUUAUGUACUUAGAAAAGCUUUCGAUACCAAUGUGGAAGGAGUAAAAAACAUAAACGAAUACCUGUUGGAACUAGUCGGUUAUUUCGAGCAUUACAUAUUAUCGGCUGUACCUGCAAUGUGUAAUGUGUAAGCUUGGAGAUUACAGCUCUAGUUAGGCCCGAGGGUGUGGACUCUGAGAAGGCGAACCGUUGUAGUAUGUACUUCCGUCUCUAGCUUUGUAAUGUUUGGAGGGUGAUGACUGAAGUUCGUAUUUGUUCUUGCACACCUCGGCCGUAUCAAUGUCAUCAGCUUGUACGAAACAGAGGUGCUACUGGUACUGGAGUAUAGUUGCCGGUAUAUUUACGCUGAAUACUAUUUUGGAUUGGAUUUGGCUUGGCAGAAGGUUACUGAAGCUAGUAUACAUACUCAAAAAUGCAUAUAGCAACCCUGAAUAUACGUUUCUGAGAAGCACUGAGUAUUAUAUUUGGCAACAUUGCUCAAAUUUAUGGUAACAUAACAUAAAUCGUAAAAUGUAAAACAUAAAUUACUUGAAAACUUCGUAGGGUUAGUGAAUAUCGGCAAUUUUUUAAAGAUUAAUUAUCAUAAGUUAUAUAAGAGAAGAAUUUGUAAAUUAAUAAAGAAUUCCCGGUGGAUAGCCAAUAUCCACUUGCAAUGUA